Gossypium raimondii (Peruvian cotton) is the source of this 144-nucleotide non-coding RNA. The record is from Rfam. Lineage: Eukaryota; Viridiplantae; Streptophyta; Magnoliopsida; Malvales; Malvaceae.
UGUUAAAAAUUUCAUCUAUUUACAUUGUUAAAAAUUGAUUUAACAGACAAAAUAAUAAACAGUGACUCUUAACGUGUAAUGUGUAUAUCAUGUUGAUAUACAUGAAUCGAUUUUUAAUAAUAAAAAUGAAUAAAAUUUUUUACA